RNAcentral lists this ribosomal RNA (253 nucleotides) under uncultured bacterium. RNAcentral's name for it is "partial 16S ribosomal RNA". It matches the Rfam family "Bacterial small subunit ribosomal RNA", at positions 524 to 776 of the family's 1533-position model. The record is from RNAcentral.
UACGUAGGGUGCAAGCGUUGUCCGGAAUUAUUGGGCGUAAAGAGCUCGUAGGCGGUUUGUUGCGUCGGCUGUGAAAUCCCGAGGCUCAACCUCGGGUCUGCAGUCGAUACGAGCAAACUAGAGUGUUGCAGGGGAGACUGGAAUUCCUGGUGUAGCGGUGAAAUGCGUAGAUAUCUGGAGGAACACCGGUGGCGAAGGCGGCAUCCUGGACCGAUAUUGACGCUGAUGCGCGAAAGCCAGGGGAGCAAACGGG